Molecule: ribosomal RNA, 468 nt
Filed under: uncultured bacterium
Lineage: Bacteria
Description: partial 16S ribosomal RNA
Rfam family: Bacterial small subunit ribosomal RNA
Source: RNAcentral
GACGAACGCUGGCGGCGUGCUUAACACAUGCAAGUCGAACGGAAAGGCCCUGCUUUUGUGGGGUGCUCGAGUGGCGAACGGGUGAGUAACACGUGAGUAACCUGCCCUUGACUUUGGGAUAACUUCAGGAAACUGGGGCUAAUACCGGAUAGGAGCUCCUGCUGCAUGGUGGGGGUUGGAAAGUUUCGGCGGUUGGGGAUGGACUCGCGGCUUAUCAGCCUGUUGGUGGGGUAGUGGCUUACCAAGGCUUUGACGGGUAGCCGGCCUGAGAGGGUGACCGACCACAUUGGGACUGAGAUACGGCCCAGACUCCUACGGGAGGCAGCAGUGGGGAAUAUUGCACAAUGGGCGGAAGCCUGAUGCAGCAACGCCGCGUGCGGGAUGACGGCCUUCGGGUUGUAAACCGCUUUCGCCUGUGACGAAGCGUGAGUGACGGUAAUGGGUAAAGAAGCACCGGCUAACUACGUG